UUUUAACCUUCCCAGCAUGAUCAUUGGUUCAGCGGUUACUUAAAUAUCCCAACCCAUGCAUACAAAUUUGCUUAUUUGUUGUUUCUACUUCCUUCAGCGAGAACUUAAAUUAUGUCUUAUGAUAGUCUUUUUAGCAUAUGUCUUAUGAUAGUCUUUUUAGCAUUUGUUUUACUAAAUUAUGUACCCAUGUUUUGUGUUGUUACUUGAGUCACCAUUUUAGUGUUGGCUUGUGAUGCAGCAUUCUUUCUCAACUCGAG
Molecule: long non-coding RNA, 257 nt
Filed under: Salvia miltiorrhiza (redroot sage)
Lineage: Eukaryota; Viridiplantae; Streptophyta; Magnoliopsida; Lamiales; Lamiaceae
Description: long non-coding RNA (SMIL_LNC006949)
Source: RNAcentral